RNAcentral lists this ribosomal RNA (497 nucleotides) under uncultured bacterium. RNAcentral describes it as "partial 16S ribosomal RNA". It matches the Rfam family "Bacterial small subunit ribosomal RNA", at positions 28 to 507 of the family's 1533-position model. The record is from RNAcentral.
GAUGAACGCUGGCGGCGUGCCUAAUACAUGCAAGUCGAGCGAACAGACGAGGAGCUUGCUCCUCUGACGUUAGCGGCGGAAGGGUGAGUAACACGUGGAUAACCUACCUAUAAGACUGGGAUAACUUCGGGAAACCGGAGCUAAUACCGGAUAAUAUAUUUAACCGCAUGGUUCAAUAGUGAAAGACGGUUUUGCUGUCACUUAUAGAUGGAUCCGCGCCGCAUUAGCUAGUUGGUAAGGUAACGGCUUACCAAGGCAACGAUGCGUAGCCGACCUGAGAGGGUGAUCGGCCACACUGGAACUGAGACACGGUCCAGACUCCUACGGGAGGCAGCAGUAGGGAAUCUUCCGCAAUGGGCGAAAGCCUGACGGAGCAACGCCGCGUGAGUGAUGAAGGUCUUCGGAUCGUAAAACUCUGUUAUUAGGGAAGAACAAAUGUGUAAGUAACUAUGCACGUCUUGACGGUACCUAAUCAGAAAGCCACGGCUAACUACGUG